RNAcentral lists this ribosomal RNA (232 nucleotides) under uncultured bacterium. Its description in RNAcentral is "partial 16S ribosomal RNA". It matches the Rfam family "Bacterial small subunit ribosomal RNA", at positions 796 to 1041 of the family's 1533-position model. The record is from RNAcentral.
CACGCCGUAAACGUUGAGAACUAAGUGUUGGGGAGACCCAGUGCUGAAGCUAACGCAUUAAGUUCUCCGCCUGAGGAGUACGCACGCAAGUGUAAAACUUAAAGGAAUUGACGGGGGCCCGCACAAGCAGCGGAGCAUGUGGUUUAAUUCGAGGCUACGCGAAGAACCUUACCAGGGCUUGACAGGAAACUUAAGACCCUAGAGAUAGGGGGAUAAUAAGUGAAACAGGUGG